This 253-nucleotide ribosomal RNA is filed under the name uncultured bacterium. RNAcentral describes it as "partial 16S ribosomal RNA". It matches the Rfam family "Bacterial small subunit ribosomal RNA", at positions 524 to 776 of the family's 1533-position model. The record is from RNAcentral.
UACGAAGGGGGCUAGCGUUGCUCGGAAUCACUGGGCGUAAAGGGUGCGUAGGCGGGUCUUUAAGUCAGGGGUGAAAUCCUGGAGCUCAACUCCAGAACUGCCUUUGAUACUGAGGAUCUUGAGUUCGGGAGAGGUGAGUGGAACUGCGAGUGUAGAGUUGAAAUUCGUAGAUAUUCGCAAGAACACCAGUGGCGAAGGCGGCUCACUGGCCCGAUACUGACGCUGAGGCACGAAAGCGUGGGGAGCAAACAGG